UAACAAGGCUGAUUUCCCAGUGUCGAUCA
RNAcentral lists this non-coding RNA (29 nucleotides) under Mus musculus (house mouse). Lineage: Eukaryota; Metazoa; Chordata; Mammalia; Rodentia; Muridae. The record is from RNAcentral.